CGGGUGCGGGACGCCGGGGUCGAGGAGCCGCAGAAGGGCCAGGUCCACGCGGGGGCCCGGAGCGGACGCCGGGCCGCUCCCGGCCGCCUCCCGGUCGGCCUCCAGGACUUCCGGUGCUUCCGGUGCUUCCGAUGCUUCCGGUCUCUCCUCCCCGCCCGUCCCGCACGGCGGGGCAGCCGCCCGUACGGGGGCCGGCCGGCUCAGGUCGUACUCCAGGCGCGCGGCGGCCACCCGGCCGUCGAACGCCACUCCGAUCUCGCCGUCCGGGCCCGUCGGACGGCGUCGGCCGUCACCGCUGGUGAGCACGUGGGCGCAGGUCAGCACCCAACCGGGGGCGACGAAGACGCCGCUGCCCCAUAACGGUGCCGGGGUCACCCCGGGCGCCGGGCGGACGGCGACGGUGGCCCGGCCCGCGUGCCCGAGGAGGUGCGCGUACUUCUCGCGGUCCGCG
This 451-nucleotide non-coding RNA is filed under the name Streptomyces paromomycinus. Lineage: Bacteria; Bacillati; Actinomycetota; Actinomycetes; Kitasatosporales; Streptomycetaceae. The record is from RNAcentral.